AUAAAGUUAGAAGAUUUCGGAUGCUGGCAUUCUCAGUUUGACCGUAAAACCGUAUAGUUUAGUUUUUCCUUUAAAAUGUUCAUUCCGAAAGCCUGCUGGAAUACUUACCUGGUUACCUGUUGCUGGACCUGUUGGGAGUUCUCGCUGGUAUACUUACCUAACCCGCUCUUGGACCUUUGAUGUUUCCUCCGGUUGAAAGCUGAAUUUGAAAGAUAAAGUUUUGUAAAGGUUUUGGAUUUCGACAGUUCACAUAUAUUCAAGAACGCCAAAGGGUGAAUCAAAUAACGGAUCGACGAUUGUCGAAGAUACAAGAAAAGAGGAAAUUUAUAUACAUAAUACGACGGCUAAUUGGCUGACGGCUGACAGCAGAAGGAAGUUUGGAAAUGCAGCUGAAGUCACAAAUGGCACAUCAUACCACUCUAUUGGUUGCAAACAGAGAUGAAUUCGUGGGGCCGAACUUGGUUCUGACGAUUAAACUCUCAACUGGGAGUAGUGAUGCAGAAGGCGAUGAACGAUUGUAUGGAUUCACGAACAAAACCAUGGUGCUAAUUAGGAAAAACGGACUUCGUUCUAAGGAGUCGGCGAUUGUCGAACCAAGACGAUCAAUACCUUAGAAUACGGCAAGGGCUGUAAUCGACAAGACCUGACAACUGGCUUCUUAUUCUUCCUUCCGAAUCAUCCUUCUCGUCAUUUUCACCCUGUGGAAUAAAUACCAACGUAUCGGCUACAGUGUAGCCAUAUUACAGAUUUUUUAAUAACUAUGCUAGGAAAAAAAUAUUACAUAUAAAUUUUUAGAAUUUAGGUUUUUGAUUUGAAAUAAACAUAAAACAUGUUUUGGUGAAAGCAUUUCUUUAAAAUAAAUUAAUGCUUAAAAACAAUUAAUUGAGCUUUGAUGACAAACCACGAAAUAUCUCUUGUUGAACGCAAAAUCGAAUCCUUCGUUGCCGUAUUACCGGAUCUUUUGGAAACCGGAAGAAGUCAGGUUUGGAUAGAAAUGCUUAAUGCGAUCACAGUGUGGAACACAACAGUUCAUUCUUCUCGUGAAACUAAACACAUUUUCGAGUUUACAGUAAUUUAACAAAUAUUUUUUGGUUACCUUUAAUUCACUAAAAAGAAAAACGGCUUGAUGCCUAUUUUAAUUACA
This is a long non-coding RNA of Malaya genurostris, 1144 nucleotides long. RefSeq lists it as uncharacterized. The record is from RefSeq and is a predicted model, not a curated record. The transcript has 3 exons. NCBI's taxonomy places the organism in Eukaryota, Metazoa, Arthropoda, Insecta, Diptera, Culicidae.